Non-coding RNA from Nelumbo nucifera (sacred lotus), 681 nucleotides. Lineage: Eukaryota; Viridiplantae; Streptophyta; Magnoliopsida; Proteales; Nelumbonaceae. The record is from RefSeq and is a predicted model, not a curated record.
UUUUCAGCCAUCCUAAACUGGCCAGACUAUGUUUAGAGCAGCUGAAUUGUCAACGAACAAACGUUUGAGAACUGACGGGAAUCGGCUAACGUUUGAAGACUAACGAAAACUGGCCAGGGUUUUGUUUCGUUCUUCUAUUUUUUCUUCCCUCUAUCUCCAACUCCCAUUGGAUAGUCUGGUUGCAUUCCUCUUUUGCAAAGGCUUAUAUUCUUUGGUUGUGAGAUAAGUAUUGGCGAUGGGAGAAGGCAUGGUAGACUACAGUCUACAGGAUCUCUUCUCUUACUAACCAAGGUUUUGGAGCAGGCGCCUCUUUGUUUUGGGUGUUAUAGCUGUGAGAACCCCACUCUUAGGUUUGGUUUUUUGGUAAUGACGAAAUGUUCGUCAUUAGCUGUCCCAUUAAUGAACUAAGUGUUUUUUUUUAGGUUAUUUGGUGCUUCUUUGGGUUGUUUCAGAAGGGUUUGAUGUAAGUGUCUUUUUGGUGUAGGGGGAUCUAGGGUUUGAUGUAGGUGUGUUUUUAGGCAUUACUUCUCAUUUUGGUCAAAUAGCAACAAGAACCAUACUAUUUUUUUUUUUUUGUUAUAUAUUGUAGGCUUGGAGGUGGUUGUUGUGCCUCUCAUAUAUAUCAUCUAACAUUUCCACUCUUAAAUGCAUGUAUGUUCUUUCUAUGUCUGGUCAUAUGUA